AGUCACUGACGUAGUUUGAUCAGUGGCUACAGAACGAACGCUGGCGGCAGGCCUAACACAUGCAAGUCGAACGCCCUAGCAAUAGGGAGUGGCAGACGGGUGAGUAACGCGUGGGAAUACUCCCCCUCAGUACGGAAUAGCCCAGGGAAACUUGGAGUAAUACCGUAUACGUCCGUGAGGAGAAAGAUUUAUCGCUGAGGGAUUAGCCCGCGUAGGAUUAGCUAGUUGGUGAGGUAACGGCUCACCAAGGCGACGAUCCUUAGCUGGUCUGAGAGGACGAUCAGCCACACUGGGACUGAGACACGGCCCAGACUCCUACGGGAGGCAGCAGUGGGGAAUAUUGGACAAUGGGCGCAAGCCUGAUCCAGCCAUGCCGCGUGAGUGACGAAGGCCUUAGGGUUGUAAAGCUCUUUGGCGGGGACGAUAAUGACGGUACCCGCAGAAUAAGCCCCGGCUAACUUCGUG
RNAcentral lists this ribosomal RNA (465 nucleotides) under uncultured bacterium. Its description in RNAcentral is "bacterial SSU rRNA". It matches the Rfam family "Bacterial small subunit ribosomal RNA", at positions 1 to 507 of the family's 1533-position model. The record is from RNAcentral.